This 23-nucleotide small nuclear RNA is filed under the name Arabidopsis thaliana (thale cress). RNAcentral describes it as "snRNA_06329". Lineage: Eukaryota; Viridiplantae; Streptophyta; Magnoliopsida; Brassicales; Brassicaceae. The record is from RNAcentral.
AUCCAACGAUCAUUUUCGACGAU